RNAcentral lists this ribosomal RNA (2933 nucleotides) under Pectobacterium carotovorum subsp. carotovorum UGC32. Its description in RNAcentral is "bacterial LSU rRNA". It matches the Rfam family "Bacterial large subunit ribosomal RNA". Lineage: Bacteria; Pseudomonadati; Pseudomonadota; Gammaproteobacteria; Enterobacterales; Pectobacteriaceae. The record is from RNAcentral.
GGGUUGUGAGGUUAAGCGACUAAGCGUACACGGUGGAUGCCUAGGCAGUCAGAGGCGAUGAAGGGCGUGCUAAUCUGCGAUAAGCGUCGGUAAGCUGAUAUGAAGCGUUAUACCCGACGAUACCCGAAUGGGGAAACCCAAUGUGUUUCGACACAUUAUCAUGACAUGAAUACAUAGUGUCAUGAGGCGAACCGGGGGAACUGAAACAUCUCAGUACCCCGAGGAAAAGAAAUCAACCGAGAUUCCCCUAGUAGCGGCGAGCGAACGGGGAGGAGCCCAGAACCUGAAUCAGUUUGUGUGUUAGUGGAAGCGUCUGGAAAGUCGCACAGUAAAGGGUGAUAGUCCCGUACACAAAAAUGCACAAAUUGUGAGUUCGAUGAGUAGGGCGGGACACGUGACAUCCUGUCUGAAUAUGGGGGGACCAUCCUCCAAGGCUAAAUACUCCUGACUGACCGAUAGUGAACCAGUACCGUGAGGGAAAGGCGAAAAGAACCCCGGCGAGGGGAGUGAAAUAGAACCUGAAACCGUGUACGUACAAGCAGUGGGAGCCUACUAGUUGGGUGACUGCGUACCUUUUGUAUAAUGGGUCAGCGACUUAUAUUCUGUAGCAAGGUUAACCGUAUAGGGGAGCCGCAGGGAAACCGAGUCUUAACUGGGCGUUAAGUUGCAGGGUAUAGACCCGAAACCCGGUGAUCUAGCCAUGGGCAGGUUGAAGGUUGGGUAACACUAACUGGAGGACCGAACCGACUAAUGUUGAAAAAUUAGCGGAUGACUUGUGGCUGGGGGUGAAAGGCCAAUCAAACCGGGAGAUAGCUGGUUCUCCCCGAAAGCUAUUUAGGUAGCGCCUCGUGAAUUCAUCUUCGGGGGUAGAGCACUGUUUCGGCUAGGGGGUCAUCCCGACUUACCAACCCGAUGCAAACUACGAAUACCGAAGAAUGUUAUCACGGGAGACACACGGCGGGUGCUAACGUUCGUCGUGAAGAGGGAAACAACCCAGACCGCCAGCUAAGGUCCCAAAGUCAUGGUUAAGUGGGAAACGAUGUGGGAAGGCACAGACAGCCAGGAUGUUGGCUUAGAAGCAGCCAUCAUUUAAAGAAAGCGUAAUAGCUCACUGGUCGAGUCGGCCUGCGCGGAAGAUGUAACGGGGCUAAACCAUGCACCGAAGCUGCGGCAGCGACACUUAGGUGUUGUUGGGUAGGGGAGCGUUCUGUAAGCCGUCGAAGGUGACCUGUGAGGGUUGCUGGAGGUAUCAGAAGUGCGAAUGCUGACAUAAGUAACGAUAAUGCGGGUGAAAAACCCGCACGCCGGAAGACCAAGGGUUCCUGUCCAACGUUAAUCGGGGCAGGGUGAGUCGACCCCUAAGGCGAGGCUGAAAAGCGUAGUCGAUGGGAAACAGGUUAAUAUUCCUGUACUCGGUGUUACUGCGAAGGGGGGACGGAGAAAGCUAGGUUAUCCGGGCGACGGUUGUCCCGGUUUAAGCGUGAAGGUGGAUGACUUAGGUAAAUCCGGGUCAUUGUUAACACUGAGGCGUGAUGACGAGUCACUACGGUGAUGAAGUAACCGAUGCUACGCUUCCAGGAAAAGCCUCUAAGCUCCAGGUAACAUCAAAUCGUACCCCAAACCGACACAGGUGGUCAGGUAGAGAAUACUCAGGCGCUUGAGAGAACUCGGGUGAAGGAACUAGGCAAAAUGGUGCCGUAACUUCGGGAGAAGGCACGCUCCUGUCGGUGAAGUCCCUAGCGGAUGGAGCUGGCGGGAGUCGCAGAUACCAGCUGGCUGCAACUGUUUAAUAAAAACACAGCACUGUGCAAACACGAAAGUGGACGUAUACGGUGUGACGCCUGCCCGGUGCCGGAAGGUUAAUUGAUGGGGUCAGCCGCAAGGCGAAGCUCUUGAUCGAAGCCCCGGUAAACGGCGGCCGUAACUAUAACGGUCCUAAGGUAGCGAAAUUCCUUGUCGGGUAAGUUCCGACCUGCACGAAUGGCGUAAUGAUGGCCAGGCUGUCUCCACCCGAGACUCAGUGAAAUUGAACUCGCUGUGAAGAUGCAGUGUACCCGCGGCAAGACGGAAAGACCCCGUGAACCUUUACUAUAGCUUGACACUGAACCUUGAGCCUUGAUGUGUAGGAUAGGUGGGAGGCUUUGAAGCGAGGACGCCAGUUCUAGUGGAGCCAACCUUGAAAUACCACCCUUUAAUGUUUGAUGUUCUAACGUAGACCCGUAAUCCGGGUUGCGGACAGUGUCUGGUGGGUAGUUUGACUGGGGCGGUCUCCUCCCAAAGAGUAACGGAGGAGCACGAAGGUUAGCUAAUCCUGGUCGGACAUCAGGAGGUUAGUGCAAAGGCAUAAGCUAGCUUGACUGCGAGAGUGACAGCUCGAGCAGGUGCGAAAGCAGGUCUUAGUGAUCCGGUGGUUCUGAAUGGAAGGGCCAUCGCUCAACGGAUAAAAGGUACUCCGGGGAUAACAGGCUGAUACCGCCCAAGAGUUCAUAUCGACGGCGGUGUUUGGCACCUCGAUGUCGGCUCAUCACAUCCUGGGGCUGAAGUAGGUCCCAAGGGUAUGGCUGUUCGCCAUUUAAAGUGGUACGCGAGCUGGGUUUAGAACGUCGUGAGACAGUUCGGUCCCUAUCUGCCGUGGGCGUUGGAAGAUUGAGAGGGGUUGCUCCUAGUACGAGAGGACCGGAGUGAACGCACCACUGGUGUACGGGUUGUGAUGCCAAUUGCAUUGCCCGGUAGCUAAGUGCGGAAGAGAUAACCGCUGAAAGCAUCUAAGCGGGAAACUUGCCUCGAGAUGAGUCUUCCCUGGGCACUAGAUGCCCCUGAAGGGCCGUUGAAGACGACGACGUAGAUAGGCUGGGUGUGUAAGCGUAGCGAUACGUUGAGCUAACCAGUACUAAUGACCCGAGAGGCUUAACCUUACAACACCGAAGGUGUUU